GUACCAUUAGCUCAGUUGGUAGAGCAGUUGCCUCUUAAGCAAUUUGUCCAGGGUUCGAGUCCCUGAUGGUGCACCA
Molecule: transfer RNA, 76 nt
Filed under: Clostridium sp. CAG:465
Lineage: Bacteria; Bacillati; Bacillota; Clostridia; Eubacteriales; Clostridiaceae
Also listed under: 1 other name
Description: transfer RNA-Lys(CTT)
Rfam family: tRNA
About the family: Transfer RNA (tRNA) molecules are approximately 80 nucleotides in length. Their secondary structure includes four short double-helical elements and three loops (D, anti-codon, and T loops).
Source: RNAcentral